CACGUAGGGCGCAAGCGUUGUCCGGAAUUAUUGGGCGUAAAGAGCUCGUAGGCGGUCUGUUGCGUCCGCUGUGAAAACUCGGGGCUUAACCCCGAGCCUGCAGUGGAUACGGGCAGACUAGAGGUAGGUAGGGGAGAAUGGAAUUCCCGGUGUGGCGGUGAAAUGCGCAGAUAUCGGGAGGAACACCGGUGGCGAAGGCGGCGACCUGGGUCGAGACUGACGCUGAGGCGCGAAAGCGUGGGGAGCAAACAGG
Molecule: ribosomal RNA, 253 nt
Filed under: uncultured bacterium
Lineage: Bacteria
Description: partial 16S ribosomal RNA
Rfam family: Bacterial small subunit ribosomal RNA
Source: RNAcentral